CACUCCGUUGGCCUAGUGGUUAAAGCGUCCACUUCAGAUGUUGGUGGUCAUGGGUUUGAACCCCAGAUGAGUCA
Non-coding RNA from Potamilus streckersoni, 74 nucleotides. Lineage: Eukaryota; Metazoa; Mollusca; Bivalvia; Unionida; Unionidae. The record is from the annotation of a GenBank genome assembly.